Heterocephalus glaber (naked mole-rat) is the source of this 1127-nucleotide long non-coding RNA. Lineage: Eukaryota; Metazoa; Chordata; Mammalia; Rodentia; Bathyergidae. The record is from Ensembl.
CCCUAAAUGCCCAUAUUGAUAAAGUCCAACAUGAUGUGAUGAGGUUAGAAAUAUGAUUUGUGAUGGAAUUCCUCAGUAAGAAAACUGUAUUUUUUUGGAAAAAUCUGCCUUGAUAAUUUUGCUUGGAAGUUUUCAGUUCAUUCCAAGGGAUCUGAGUCCUGCUUUUUCUUCCAGAGAGGUCAGAGCAAAGGAAGAAGACACUGUGUGACAAGUCCAGGCAAAUGGAGAAAAAUGUGAUUUCUUCCCAUGAACUUGUGAAACUUUAGGAAAGUUUUAGUAUGCAUGAAAUCAUUGGUUUGAAUUGAACGUUUGUGGAAAUUUAACCAACAAGCUGAAUUUUGGAUCUAGAUCAGCAGAGGCUGAAACAAGGCAGCACACACAGAGCCAGGGCGAAGAUCACAUAUGGUAUGAGAUUUCGUCAGAAAUUUGUGGGGCGCAUGGAUCGUCCUGGUCAUCAAAAUGAGGAAGUCGUGCCUUUGGAGCACACAGACCUUCAGAAAGGAAAACAUUUCAGGUUCCUAUCAGGAAAAUCAGCUACCCUCUGCUGAACCCAUUCAGAGUUCAGCCACUGAGAGGAAACACGAAAGCUGACACGUUCACUAGCCUGAACACAUGAAACUAAUAAAAACCAAAGCAAAACAGGCUUAACCCACCCAUCACCUUCUGAAGAGAAUACCUAUGACUCAAAAUUAGAGUGACUUUGACUUCAUCCAGGAGGAGAACAAGGCUGAGUGAACAGUGCCACCCAGGAUGCUCAUCACAACAGUAAAGUGAAAGGAGGAAGUGAUGCAACAGUGCCAUUGUUCCAAAGUAGAAGGAAAAGCUGAACAGAAGGCUCUCUCUCCAGAUUCCACAUGUUUACUGGACGGUUCUCGAUGUUGACCAUUCUGAGUUACUAUUCCCUGGUACAUAAUAUAUCCUCUCAGAAAAAGAGAUGUAAGAAGUAAAGAUAAUCCUGGCUUUUUGUCCCAGAGACUUGCCUGAAAGAUGUGAGCUUUUCCUCCAAGUCCUCCCCACUAUCUCCCAUGGGGCUCUCGUCAGAGACAACAUCGCGCUGCCGGGGCUUUCAGUCUCCGAACCAUGAGCAGAAUACCCCUUCUUCCCUUCAUACGUAGCCUGCUUUGGGU